RNAcentral lists this long non-coding RNA (1408 nucleotides) under Citrus x clementina. Its description in RNAcentral is "Citrus clementina (C. clementina) long non-coding RNA (CCLE_LNC000280)". Lineage: Eukaryota; Viridiplantae; Streptophyta; Magnoliopsida; Sapindales; Rutaceae. The record is from RNAcentral.
UAUAUUACAUUUGUAUUUACUAAAAAAGUUUGAUGUGAAUUCUAUUUUGUUACAAUAUUCAAAGGACAUUUGGACUAAAAAGGAAUCUUGGUGACGUUUAUGGAAAACUUAAGGGUAUGAUGACUAUUUCCCUUAACUUUAGAGGUGCAACUCUUUUAUUUUUUUAUUUUUUUUAAAAGCUGAAAAUUUGAGAAAUUUAUUAAAUAAAGGUCAAACACGUACUCAGGGGGACUUAUUAAGCAAUACCCCUUAAGGUGAAAUGUUAUGGGUAGUAACUUUUAUGGUCCUUGUCAUGUGGAAAGGUGGUAUGGCCUACUCGUUGAUGGUAGUACUUCUGCCUGGUCUUUGUCAUGUGGUAAUUUAGGUCGGCUGGCCAUUUUGCCUAUUCAUUUUUUUGUGGUAAAGUAGUGUGAGCUCGCUCAAUAAUACCAUAUGAAAGCUCAUGGAUCUAACUCAUAUUUAAAAGUUAGUUUAAAAGUUAAGAAUUGUCCCAAUCUUCUAUAUAACUAUUCAAAGCCGAUGUUGGAUAACAUUUUGAACACAUAUAGUAAAAUCUUGAUGCGUUAAUAGGCUUGAGACCAUGAAAAAUCAAUUAACUUAGUGAAGGUGAAUAUUAUUUGAUCAAAAAACUAAUAAAUAAGCAUACUAUGAAGAUAUUGCUUAUUAUGAAAAAUAUGAUUAUAUUUAUAACAUUGAUUUUAUCUUAAUUUUAUAUUUAUUAUGUUUUAGUUGAAUAAUAGUCAUUUGUUUUACAUUAGUAGUAAUAUAUUAUUGUAAAUUUUCUAUUUUUUCUAUAUUAAAAAUGAUAAUAGAACCCGUCUGGUGCAAAGAAGAGCUCAAGGCUCCCAUAUUAUUUUUAGUGUUAUGUAGCUAGCUGACUAUGUGAUAUUACAGAUUUGGUUUGGUCCACGAAGGCGCGAGGCUAUUCGCGGGUAAUAACAACAAAGAACCUAGACCUGUAAUUCCAAGUUGCCUUCGAAAUACAGCUGAUCUUCAUUAUUUGCUUGUUGAUGUCCUAGUCUUCAGAGCAAAUUAAUUAAUAAACUAUUUGCGUAGAGACAUGAUUGCUUGAUGUGCAUGGGAAUCAUCUUUGAGACCGAUAAAAAAGUAUUUGUAGAUGUGGGCAAAAUUUUCCACACAGCUGUAUUAAAUUAAAUAAUGCCAAAUACUAAUUUAGUUUUUACAUUUUGAAUUAAAGUCAAUUUAGUCCUUGUAUUUUGAACACUUCUGUUGUUAAAUAUAAGGGUGGCAAAAAUUCCCACGGGGACGGGUACCCUCGGGGAUUUUUCCCAUUCGGGGAGGAUAUGGAGAUAAUUUCAUACCCAAUUUCUUAUUCGGGGAAGGGACGGGGAAAUUUUUUUAUCCAAUUUCUUAUUCGGGGAGGGGACGGGGAUGAGGUGGAAUCCCC